UUGGUCCGCGCGCAACCCUCUAUCAGUAAUCAUCAUACCAAUCAAUAACGAAGCAUUCAAAACAAAUAAGCAUACACAUACAAUAAGAUAAAAUAAUAAUCAGAGGUAAAUAUAGAUAAAAUGAAUGAAGAUAAAAACUAGUAUGAAAAGUAACCAACAAAAAUAACCAAGGCAAAAAUCGAAAGAAAAAUAAAGUACGUAAAUAAAUAAUAAGAAAAUUACUAAUAAUAAGAAUCAAACAAAUAAAAAGAAAUAUAAAUAUAAUUAAUUAAUUAAAAAAAAAAGAGGGGAAGGGGCAAAUGGUGAGGGGGUCGACGAUGGGGCCGCGGCAAUGCCCAGAGGGUCGCGCGAUCAGUAAUGGGGAGAGGGAAGGGUGGCGGUGGAGGUUAUUUCGAAAGGAGGGAGAAGGAGGGAGGUUCAAAUGGGAAUGGGGGUGAGGGUGUGCGUGGGGGAGAGGAAAGGGGAGGACAAUGAACAAGGGGCGGGGUUUGUGUGGUGGAUAGUGGCGGGGCUGGGUUGGGUUAGGAGGUGCGAUGGAGGAAGAAGGGAAAGGAGGGGGAAAAAGAGGAGAGGAGGGGACGGAUGGGUUGGUGUUGGUCAACGGUGCAGGGAGGGGAAAGGAGGGGGGUUCGUGCUAGACAGUAGGAGGGGAAAAAUAAAAGAAGGGAGAAGAGAAAUGGAAGGCAUAAGGACGAUGGAGAGGUAGCCGGUCUUGCAAGGAAGAGGGACGGUUAGGGUGGCCGAAGCUGCAAAGGGAUAGGCGUGCGGCGGCUAGGGGAAAAAGUGAGAAAGAAGAGAA
RNAcentral lists this long non-coding RNA (799 nucleotides) under Gossypium raimondii (Peruvian cotton). Its description in RNAcentral is "long non-coding RNA (GRAI_LNC006367)". Lineage: Eukaryota; Viridiplantae; Streptophyta; Magnoliopsida; Malvales; Malvaceae. The record is from RNAcentral.